Molecule: ribosomal RNA, 332 nt
Filed under: uncultured Oscillospiraceae bacterium
Lineage: Bacteria; Bacillati; Bacillota; Clostridia; Eubacteriales; Oscillospiraceae
Description: partial 16S ribosomal RNA
Source: RNAcentral
GGAGUCUGGGCCGUAUCUCAGUCCCAAUGUGGCCGUUCAACCUCUCAGUCCGGCUACUGAUCGCAGUCUUGGUAGGCCGUUGCCCCACCAACUAACUAAUCAGAUAUGAGCCCAUCUUUCAGCGGAUUGCUCCUUUGGUACAAAAGGGAUGCCCCUCUCGCACAUUAUGCGGUAUUAGCAGUCGUUUCCAACUGGUUGUCCCCCUCUGAAAGGCAGGUUGCUCAUACAUUACUCACCCGUCCGCCACUAAGUCAAAUUCAAACUUCGACGAAUCUCUGUUCAAAAGUGCUUCGUUCGACUUGCAUGUGUUAGGCACGCCGCCAGCGUUCAUC